Molecule: long non-coding RNA, 1295 nt
Organism: Hyla sarda
Lineage: Eukaryota; Metazoa; Chordata; Amphibia; Anura; Hylidae
Exons: 4
Source: RefSeq, a predicted model, not a curated record
UCAGCACCACGUGCACUGUCCCCAGGCAGCAGCAGCCGCAUAUUGCACAGUGUAUACAGGCGCUUAUAUACUGUAUACACUACAAUGUACAGGGGAUAACACUGUGUGACAGCGAUACUCAGCACAGCAUGCCGUGUGCACGGGUGAAGGCAGAAACUACAAGAACCUUAACCUGAAGAUCAACCUCCUUAUAACUGUGUCAGUGUGGUAAAUUAACAGAGCCCUGGAAAAGACACAGCAAAUGCAAUGCCUGUGGAGCAAGGAUGUGGAACAACGUCAGUGGCUGCUAUGGGUCAGCCAAUCUGAGGAAGGAGGUCUGUCCCUCAAAAACGCAUCAUUGGUUUUAUUAUCAUUUAUUAAUAAAUAUAGUGCUUUGCAGCACUUUAAGUACAUUUAGCAUUUGCUUGAAUUUACUGGGAAAUAAGAACAGCGCCCAGCAAAGGUCCUUUUUUCCUCUACAUUCUUCAGAUUCUGUAUGGGAGAAGUCUUUUCUUCUUUCCCAUUCUACCUUGGGCUCAGCAGUUUGUCUCCAGAUGAUCUACACUAUCCCUUUUGGAUGAUAUGCGCAUAUUGUCUACUACCAGUUGUUAGACAGCGGUUUCCAUAAGGGGUCGUGCCACAUGUCAUGCCAUUUAUCUCCGGACUUACAACAUUUGUCACUUGAAGUUUAGAAUCUCCAACAGCUGCUCUCUUCAUUUCUUUCUGACUGCAGACCUGAGCAUUCCACUGGAAUGUGUGAUGACUUCAUACAAGAUUUCAACUGGAAGUAUUGCUUUCUUACUGUAAAUUUAUCUGCACAAGCAGAGAUAUAGACACUUCUUACCAUCAUUCCACAAGAGGCUGCUAUCAGCAUUACAUAUACUGUUAUACUAAGCAAUUCAUUUUAUAAACAGUAUCUACACUUUUAUUUCAGUUUUUUGUUAUUUUUUUUUUUUUAUAUUUGAGGUCUAUUCUUUUUUUUUUUAUCAACUGCUGAUUCUGUGGACCCAUAGUCAGAGACAUUAUGAUUGAUUUCACCAUGUCUUGGGUAUAGGGUGAGAUCCACGGUGUAUAUGCAACAAAGUCUGCAUGUAAUGCAUGAUGUUUUUGCUGUGUAUUUGUGACAGAUCUGUAUAAAAAUGGUGCAUGUGGAGUCACCUUAAUGGGAUGACUCCACAUGAACCAUUAUUUAAUCAGAGUGCCUAGGGCAGCAUGAGCUAGGACUGCCCUGCCCAUAGGGACUUUAUGUGCUGCAGUAGAGCAUCCAUGCAUAUAGCAUACCCCUGGUUUGGAUCCACCGUGGGUUUGGGCAUAAA